UGGGUGGAUCACGAGGUCAGGAGUUCAAGACCAGCCUGGUCAACAUGGUGAAACCCUGUCUUUACUAAAAAUACAAAAAUUAGCUGGGCGUGGUGGUGGGCGCCUGUAGUCCCAGCUACUCAGGAGGCUGAGGCAGAGAAUUGCUUGCACCCGGGAGGCAGAGGUUGCAGCGAGCCAAGAUCGCGCUACUGCACUCCAGCCUGGGUGACAGAGUGAAACUCCACCACGCCCUCUGCCUCAGCUCCCCCCCCACCAAAAAGCCCAUGCUGCAGAUUGUCACAGGGUCUGGUCUCUGUCUCCUGCUUGGCCCUGGGUGGGCCCCCUCAAGACCCUUGCCUGAAGCCGAGCGAGGUGGCUUACGCCUAUAAUCCCAGCACUUUGGGAGGCUGAGGCUGGAGGAUCACUUGAGCUCAGGAGUUCAAGACCAGCCUGGGAAACAAAGUGAGACCAUCUUUACACAAAAUUAAAGAAUUAGCUGAGCAUGUUGGCACAUGCCUGUAGUCCCAGCUACUCGGGAGGCUGAAAUGGGAAGAGAGCUUGAGGCCAGGAAGUUGAGGCUGUAGUAAGCCAUGUUCACACCACUGUACUCUAGCCUGGGUGACAUACUGAGACCCUGUCUCAACAAAACGAAACAAAACAAAACAAAACAAAACGCUUCCCUGAGAGCAGGCCUCCUCUCUAUCAAGGGUGGGUGAUCACCUGCACAGCCUGACCUGGAAGGCCUUGGCUGCCCUUCCAGGGGUUUACCCCCACUUAAGCCCCCGUCCCUAAGUCCAACUUCUGCCAGGCCCUCCUGGCAGCUGCCUGUUUCUCCCUUCACCUGGUAACCAGGCUUUGGGUGUUCACAGAGCCUGGCAGGUUCACAGUCCUUCUGGCAGGUGACAUUGCAGUUGCUGCCAGAAGUUUCCUGCCCCCUCCUCAACGAAUAUUUUUAAAAACUUGCUGAGGUGUACAGGGAUGAUGAUUAACCUUUAUUAAGCCCCCACAGCCUGCGGGUGCUGAGAAUAUCCGUGGGCCUUCACCUUUCCAGCAAGAACACAGAGGGGCCUCCCUCUGGGGGAAGUUUAGGGACACAGGUGUGGAAACUUCUGGAUGCCUGCUCUUGUGAGUUCACCUCUAUGUCUACUCUACUGAGGCCUCUCCAUACAGGUAGAGUGACUUGUGGGAGGCCUGUUACAUCCUCAGGCCACACCUGGUAAGGGAAACCCAGACAUUGAACAGAGCCUGUGACCUCCCAGAGGAGCUAAGCACCCUUCCAGCUCUGACAUCGUACAGUUGGCUCUAAUAGGUCUCAGUUUCCUGCCUUCCUGGGAAGUAGGGAAAGGCUGAGAGGCCCCGUGCUGGGGGCGAAGCUAAUUCAUUAGUUACGCCUCAACAAGGACCGGGUGCCUGCAGUGCCAGCGUGAUUCAUCAUGAUGAUUGCCCCACUGCCAGCCUGCGUGGGCCUGGAACGCCAGCACAUUUUACCUUUACCCACUGAGAAGGGCCUGGUGGGAGGUGAAGGUACAGGAUCUGCCGAGAGCAAGAAAAAGACUCUGAGAAAGAAGAGGGCUGGUCCUCCAUGCUCUCGGCCCCAGGAAGCUCUGCCAGGCUGGUGCCGGGGUGGAGAGGCUCAUGUGGGCUCAUGUGGUGCUGCCCGUGCUGAUGGAGCCCAAGAGGGCAGCCUGGCGCUGGGUGCCAGCCUGAGCAUGUGGCGAGGCUGGGCUGCUGAGCCUCCUCCUCCACAGCCAAUGUUCCCUCAAACUGCUUGGGGGCGGGGGGAGGGACUCAUCCUCAUCCCAUUAGCCUGGCUGGGUAUUCCCUACCUUUCUGGUCUCUGAGAGACUUACCUCUUCCAAGAAGUCCUCCCGAAUGAGUAGAAGGGAGAGAGCUGGAUUGGAACUUAAGUGACAUCUGGGAGGAGCCUGAAGCCCCUCCAGUUGGGGCUGAGACUCCUAUACCCUAGGUCUGGUGUCUGGGUUCCACCUGGGUCCUCUACCUUGGCCUGGAUUCCUGCUUUCGUUUUGCCAGUCUCUCCCAGGAUGGGGGUGCAUGGCUGGUUCGUGGCUCAGAGCAACAUCUGCCUCUGUGUCCCCCCAUCAUCUGUCCGCCCCCUAACACCUCUUGCCAUAUUAGAAUUGCUAUUGCUCUGUCCUUUCAUUCAUGUAUCCAACAAAUAUAUAUUAUCUGAAAAAAAGCAUGUGCUGAAUAAUUUCAUUUGUGUGAAAUUCAAGAACAGAGAAAACUGAUCCAUAAGGAUAGAGGUCAGGAUCAUAGUUGCCUCUGCGAGGUGGGGAUUGACCGCAAGAGGCUUGAGAGAACUCUUGGGUUGAUGGAAAUGGGACAGGGGUGUGUACAUUUGUCAAAACGCAUCCAAGAAGACACUUACGAUCUAUGCAUUUCACUGUAUGCAAUGUUUGCCUCCACUUUUUUUGUUAAGUUUUUUUCAGCAAGGCGCAGUGGCUCAUGCCUAUAAUUCCAGCACUUUGGGAGGCUGAGGCAGGUGGAUCACCUGAGAUCAGGAGUUCGAGACCAGCCUGACCAACAUGGUGAACCCCUGUCUCUACUAAAAUACAAAAAUUAGCUGGGCGUGGUGGUGGGCACCUGUAAUCUCAGCUACUUGCGAGGCUGAGGCAAGAGAAUCGCUUGAACCCAGGAGGCGAGGCGGAGGUUGCAGUGAGCCAAGAUCACGCCAUUGCACUCCAACCUAUGCAACAAGAGCAAAACUCUGUCUCAAAAUAAAUAAAU
Pan troglodytes (chimpanzee) is the source of this 2727-nucleotide long non-coding RNA. RefSeq lists it as uncharacterized. The transcript is spliced from 4 exons. The record is from RefSeq and is a predicted model, not a curated record. Lineage: Eukaryota; Metazoa; Chordata; Mammalia; Primates; Hominidae.